UGAUCAGAGGAGCUGGGCUCCUUGCGAGCUCAACCUAUUCUCAAACUUUCAAUGGGUGAGACGUCUCGCUGGCUUCACUGCAGCGACGACUCUGAAUCCGAGUGCCCAGUGGGCCACUUUUGGUAAGCAGAACUGGCGAUGCGGGAUGAACCGCAUGUCGAGUUAAGGUGCCUAAGCGGACGCAAAUCAGAUACCAUGAAAGGUGUUGAUUGCUCACGACAGCAGGACGGUGGCCAUGGAAGUCGGCAUCCGCUAAGGAGUGUGUAACAACUCACCUGCCGAAGCAAUCAGCCCUGAAAAUGGAUGGCGCUAAAGCGUUCCACCGAUACUCGACCGUCGUCGGCACGCGACCGGCCUCGGCCGGUCUCAGGCCACGACGAGUAGGGCGGCGCGGUGGUGAGCGUCGAAGGCGUAGCCGUGAGGCUAGCUGGAGCCGCCAUCGGUGCAGAUCUUGGUGGUAGUAGCAAAUACACAAGCAAGAUCCUUGUGGACCGAUGUGGAGAAGGGUUCCGCGCGAACAGUACUUGGACGUGGGUGAGUCGGCCCUAAGCCAACGGGUAAUUCCCGCAUCCCG
RNAcentral lists this ribosomal RNA (574 nucleotides) under Chelonibia testudinaria. RNAcentral's name for it is "eukaryotic LSU rRNA". It matches the Rfam family "Eukaryotic large subunit ribosomal RNA", at positions 1018 to 1573 of the family's 3401-position model. Lineage: Eukaryota; Metazoa; Arthropoda; Thecostraca; Balanomorpha; Chelonibiidae. The record is from RNAcentral.